CACCAAAUGCAAUCUAAAUGGUUACUUGCAAGAUUUGACUCUUUGGAAUUGGCCUUGCAUCUUGAGAUUUUUACCACAAAAUUGAACAAUGGCCCCCUACAUAGCAUCUCCAUGCUGCUAAAAGAUAAUUUUCAGAAAUUUACAGUCUAAGAUACUUCAUAGGUUUCUGACUUUUAUCAGUCAAGUUGAAGAAAGAAGACAUAGCAUUUGCUAGAAAUUGGAUUUCCACUUCUGGUCCCAACCUGUUGAAGCAUGGCACAAUAAUUAAUUCCUUUACUAUUGUUAAGCAGACACAUGGAAAAGACACACUGGAUUUUGAUUCCAAGUUUAACAAUGGCUUGCCUUGAAAUAUCGAUUACCUAGACAUUUUACAACACAUGAAUUUUUUCCUUUUUUUUUCGAGUUGAGGGAUUGGGAGAGUGGGACUCGAACCUGAGUCUUGUCAGGUGUGUGCAUGGCUUCAGCGACUAGACCAAGCCAAGCUAGGCAACAUGUAAAUAUUUUUAAGAAAAAGCAAUGAAUGUGCUAAUUUCAAAACCUGAUAAAUAUUCUCUUCAAGAAUAAUAGUUAAACGAGAAAGAAAAUUUGGAAAAAGAAAAAAAAAUACCUCCAAUCUGACCAAUCACUUCAUCUUUUUCCCAUCAAAAUUAAUAAUGUCAUCAAGGCCUUGACAGUGAAUUGUGUUUAUCUCUUGUCCCCUCAGUUCUAUUCCAUCAUCAUCCAGUAAUGCUAUCCCUGAUGAUGCUAUGAUAAAAGGGAAAGCCAUGGG
Molecule: unclassified non-coding RNA, 769 nt
Filed under: Hevea brasiliensis (rubber tree)
Lineage: Eukaryota; Viridiplantae; Streptophyta; Magnoliopsida; Malpighiales; Euphorbiaceae
Source: RNAcentral